GACGAACGCUGGCGGCGUGCUUAACACAUGCAAGUCGAACGGUAAGGCCCUUCGGGGUACACGAGUGGCGAACGGGUGAGUAACACGUGGGUGAUCUGCCCUGCACUUCGGGAUAAGCCUGGGAAACAGGGUCUAAUACCGGAUAGGACCACUGCCUGCAUGGGUGGUGGUGGAAAGCUUUUGCGGUGUGGGAUGGGCCCGCGGCCUAUCAGCUUGUUGGUGGGGUGAUGGCCUACCAAGGCGACGACGGGUAGCCGGCCUGAGAGGGUGACUGGCCACACUGGGACUGAGAUACGGCCCAGACUCCUACGGGAGGCAGCAGUGGGGAAUAUUGCACAAUGGGCGCAAGCCUGAUGCAGCGACGCCGCGUGAGGGACGACGGCCUUCGGGUUGUAAACCUCUUUCAGCACCGACGAAGCGCAAGUGACGGUAGGUGCAGAAGAAGGACCGGCCAACUACGUGCCAGCCGCCGCCGUAA
RNAcentral lists this ribosomal RNA (478 nucleotides) under uncultured bacterium. Its description in RNAcentral is "partial 16S ribosomal RNA". It matches the Rfam family "Bacterial small subunit ribosomal RNA", at positions 28 to 523 of the family's 1533-position model. The record is from RNAcentral.